UAGGGAAUCUUCGGCAAUGGGGGGAACCCUGACCGAGCAACGCCGCGUGAGUGAAGAAGGUUUUCGGAUCGUAAAGCUCUGUUGUUAAGGAAGAACGAGUGUGAGAAUGGAAAGUUCAUACUGUGACGGUACUUAACCAGAAAGGGACGGCUAACUACGUGCCAGCAGCCGCGGUAAUACGUAGGUCCCGAGCGUUGUCCGGAUUUAUUGGGCGUAAAGCGAGCGCAGGCGGUUAGAUAAGUCUGAAGUUAAAGGCAGUGGCUCAACCAUUGUAGGCUUUGGAAACUGUUUAACUUGAGUGCAGAAGGGGAGAGUGGAAUUCCAUGUGGAGCGGUGAAAUGCGUAGAUAUAUGGAGGAACGCCGGUGGCGAAAGCGGCUCUCUGGUCUGUAACUGACGCUGAGGCUCGAAAGCGUGGGGAGCGAACAGG
This 429-nucleotide ribosomal RNA is filed under the name Bacteroidota bacterium. RNAcentral describes it as "Bacteroidetes bacterium partial 16S ribosomal RNA". It matches the Rfam family "Bacterial small subunit ribosomal RNA", at positions 355 to 776 of the family's 1533-position model. Lineage: Bacteria; Pseudomonadati; Bacteroidota. The record is from RNAcentral.